Papaver somniferum (opium poppy) is the source of this 442-nucleotide long non-coding RNA. RefSeq lists it as uncharacterized. NCBI's taxonomy places the organism in Eukaryota, Viridiplantae, Streptophyta, Magnoliopsida, Ranunculales, Papaveraceae. The transcript is spliced from 2 exons. The record is from RefSeq and is a predicted model, not a curated record.
CAUAAAUUGAAAUAUGUUACGACCUAAAAUCAAAAAAGGAGAAACAAAAAUCACAAAAAACAAGUUAAAAUGGUGGGGGGAAAUGCUCAAUAAGAGAGAGAGAAAAAGAUGAACAACUCCAGAAAACGAUUAAAAAUCCUCUAAAAGAGAAAAGACGUGAAGAUUCGUAUAGGUACUGGUUGACACACUCGGAAACACCUAAAAUAAAGGUUCUGAUACAAAGAAAAAAUAACGAAGGCCCUUCUACCAAUGCCGGUUUUGGAGUUUCCUUAAACUUCUAUGAAGGUGCACCGAAGGAAGAUGAAUUGAAGAAUAAGAUGAUUGUAACACACGAGAUUGAAUUGAACCUAAAAUUAGUUUUUAAAUUGAAAAAAUCGAUGAAAUCUGGAAAAAUGUGAUAUAUAAAAACCCUGUAAUCCAAACACAAGAAGAAUCUGGUAAA